GGCCUGCCUGUAAUGAGUGUACAGAUUGUAUAUCAGUGUACAUUUGCUGUCCCCUCAAAAUAACUCAACACAGCCAUCAAUGUCUAAACCGCAGGCAACAAAAGUGAGUACACCCCUAAGUGAAAAUGUCCAAAUUGG
Molecule: long non-coding RNA, 138 nt
Organism: Nanorana parkeri
Lineage: Eukaryota; Metazoa; Chordata; Amphibia; Anura; Dicroglossidae
Exons: 3
Source: RefSeq, a predicted model, not a curated record